RNAcentral lists this ribosomal RNA (392 nucleotides) under uncultured bacterium. Its description in RNAcentral is "partial 16S ribosomal RNA". It matches the Rfam family "Bacterial small subunit ribosomal RNA", at positions 523 to 918 of the family's 1533-position model. The record is from RNAcentral.
AUACGGAGGAUCCGAGCGUUAUCCGGAUUUAUUGGGUUUAAAGGGUGCGCAGGCGGCCAUUUAAGUCAGCGGUUAAAUCGUGGGGCUCAACCCCAUUCUGCCGUUGAUACUGGGUGGCUUGAUUGCGGUCGAGGUUGGCGGAAUUCGAUGUGUAGCGGGGGAAUGCAUAGAUAUGACGAAGAACACCGAUUGCGUAGGCAGCUGACCAGACCGCAAAUGACGCUCAUGCACGAAAGUGCGGGGAUCGAACAGGAUUAGAUACCCUGGUAGUCCGCACAGUAAACGAUGAAUACUUGUUUUCGGCGAUAUAAUGUCGGAGGCAAAGCGAAAGCGAUAAGUAUUCCACCUGGGGAGUACGCCGGCAACGGUGAAACUCAAAUGAAUUGGCGGGG